This 444-nucleotide long non-coding RNA is filed under the name Androctonus crassicauda. The record is from RNAcentral. Lineage: Eukaryota; Metazoa; Arthropoda; Arachnida; Scorpiones; Buthidae.
GUGACGUACAAAAGGUAGUUCUCUGAAUACGACCAUCAGUAUACAGUCGGCUGUGCUGCCCAAAUAUUGCCAUCGUUCUCCAUAGAAGAAACAAAUCAACAUUCUCAGCAUCAAAAUAUUGUAUAAAUCGUUGCGUUACGUAGUAUCCGAUCCAAAAUGAAGCAGUUCAUGUUUCAUUUGAGCAUCUUUAUCAUCAUUAUAUUCUUGGCUAACAGAGAAGUAAUGGGCCAAAAUAAUGAGGGUGUAAUACAAAAAGCUCCUGCUAAGGAAGUUCUCAUACAACCAGCUCCUUUCGCUGUUAUUGUACCAGGUGCUAUUCUAGCUAAUUACGGUAAAAGAUCAGAAAAUAGUAAAGGCUGAAGGCCACUUGUCAUUCCCAAAGAAGAAGAAAACAACUCUCAGUUGCUUGAAUCUUGUGAUGGUUAAUAAAAAAUUGUUUGACUG